This 301-nucleotide ribosomal RNA is filed under the name uncultured bacterium. RNAcentral's name for it is "partial 16S ribosomal RNA". It matches the Rfam family "Bacterial small subunit ribosomal RNA", at positions 509 to 807 of the family's 1533-position model. The record is from RNAcentral.
CAGUCGCCGCGGUAACACGAAGGGUGCAAGCGUUAAUCGGAAUUACUGGGCGUAAAGCGUGCGUAGGCGGUUUGUUAAGUCUGCUGUGAAAUCCCCGGGCUCAACCUGGGAAUGGCAGUAAAUACUGGCAAGCUAGAGUGUGUCAGAGGAUGGUGGAAUUCCCGGUGUAGCGGUGAAAUGCGUAGAGAUCGGGAGGAACAUCAGUGGCGAAGGCGGCCAUCUGGGACAACACUGACGCUGAGGCACGAAAGCGUGGGGAGCAAACAGGAUUAGAUACCCCCGUAGUCCCUGUCUCUUAUAC